This 497-nucleotide ribosomal RNA is filed under the name uncultured bacterium. RNAcentral describes it as "partial 16S ribosomal RNA". It matches the Rfam family "Bacterial small subunit ribosomal RNA", at positions 28 to 507 of the family's 1533-position model. The record is from RNAcentral.
GAUGAACGCUGGCGGCGUGCCUAAUACAUGCAAGUCGAGCGAACAGACGAGGAGCUUGCUCCUCUGACGUUAGCGGCGGACGGGUGAGUAACACGUGGAUAACCUACCUAUAAGACUGGGAUAAUUUCGGGAAACCGGAGCUAAUACCGGAUAAUAUAUUGAACCGCAUGGUUCAAUAGUGAAAGACGGUUUUGCUGUCACUUAUAGACGGAUCCGCGCCGCAUUAGCUAGUUGGUAAGGUAACGGCUUACCAAGGCAACGAUGCGUAGCCGAUCUGAGAGGGUGAUCGGCCACACUGGAACUGAGACACGGUCCAGACUCCUACGGGAGGCAGCAGUAGGGAAUCUUCCGCAAUGGGCGAAAGCCUGACGCAGCAACGCCGCGUGAGUGAUGAAGGUCUUCGGAUCGUAAAACUCUGUUAUUAGGAAAGAACAAAUGUGUAAGUAACUAUGCACGUCUUGACGGUACCUAAUCAGAAAGCCCCGGCUAACUACGUG